ACGUAGGAGGCAAACGUUAUCCGGAUUUACUGGGCGUAAAGCGCGUGUAGGUGGUACUGUAAGUAGGGCGUGAAAGCUCCUGGCUCAACUGGGAGAGGCCGUUCUAAACUACAGAACUAGAGGAUGGUAGAGGGAGGUGGAAUUCCAGGUGUAGCGGUGAAAUGCGCAGAUAUCUGGAGGAACACCGGUGGCGAAGGCGGCCUCCUGGACCAUUCCUGACACUCAGACGCGAAAGCUAGGGUAGCAAACGG
This 251-nucleotide ribosomal RNA is filed under the name uncultured prokaryote. RNAcentral describes it as "partial 16S rRNA". It matches the Rfam family "Bacterial small subunit ribosomal RNA", at positions 525 to 775 of the family's 1533-position model. The record is from RNAcentral.